RNAcentral lists this ribosomal RNA (253 nucleotides) under uncultured bacterium. RNAcentral describes it as "partial 16S ribosomal RNA". It matches the Rfam family "Bacterial small subunit ribosomal RNA", at positions 524 to 776 of the family's 1533-position model. The record is from RNAcentral.
UACGUAGGGGGCAAGCGUUGUCCGGAUUUAUUGGGCGUAAAGAGCGUGUAGGCGGCUUGGCAAGUCCGCUGUGAAAGCUCGAGGCUUAACCUCGAGACGUCGGUGGAAACUGCCUGGCUAGAGUCCGGAAGAGGAGAGUGGAAUUCCUGGUGUAGCGGUGAAAUGCGCAGAUAUCAGGAAGAACACCCGUGGCUAAGGCGGCUCUCUAGUACGGUACUGACGCUGAGACGCGAAAGCGUGGGGAGCGAACAGG